Molecule: long non-coding RNA, 922 nt
Organism: Hemibagrus wyckioides
Lineage: Eukaryota; Metazoa; Chordata; Actinopteri; Siluriformes; Bagridae
Exons: 3
Source: RefSeq, a predicted model, not a curated record
CACAUGCUCACACACACACACACACACACACACACACACACACAUAUUCAUAAGUUCAUCUCCUUGUUUUUCUCAAGCAAUAUCCAAUUUUACCCCAUUGCCACGCACGUGUUCAGACGACGCUCGGAUGGAUUCGAUCGGAAGUUUUUGCACAAACUUGUUGAGUCCAUGAGGCUCGAGUGCACAAAAAAGAGGACGAACAAAGUCUCUGGAAGUCACGAGCACAUUUCAAGUAAAUAUUUGUCAUCACUUCAUUUUGAUACGACCCGCAAACAUCUGCAUACGAUUCCUCACGUCUGACUGGAUCCCAGUGUGUGCAACUGAGAUCUUCUCAUUGGAGUUUGGCUAUAAAGAGACUCCCGUGAAGACUACAGUGGACUGAAGACAGCGAGUCAUGUUGAAAAACUGUUCAAUAUAUGAAACGAAGAAACGAAUAAAAGGCUAUAGACGUGACAUUAUGUCAUUAUGUCAUGUACGCAUUAUGUUAAUAAGGUAAAUGUGAAUGAAAACCUUCUCCGAGGCUCUGUUUAAUUAAUGAAAGCACUGGAUAUUCAGACGUACUGCAAAUAUCUAAUAUUAAACGAAUUCAUCAUAUUAAAGAUCUUAUUAUUUUAUAACGGUAUAAUUUUGAUAAACAUUCUUAGCUUAUGUAAUGAAAUGGGAUCGUUUCGUCUUCAAGUGGCUAAUGCAUGCACUUCGGGUUGUAUCAAUUUGCUCACAAGACUGACUUUCAGGCUACAGUACAUCACACUGCAGGUGCUAAAUUACUCUAUUAGCAUUGACUCCUUCCUGUAUUUUGCACCUUUAGAUAGAAGGAUGCCUAAUUGCAUAUUCAUUCAUGUUAAACACUCAAAACGGACAGGACGUGCUAUUUUAUUUGAAAGACGCAAUCCUCUGUAGACAUUUUUUUUAACUAUAUCAA